GAAAUAGGUCUUCAAUUGUGCCGUCAAGAGCUGCCGUAUCUAGAUUCACGCUCAAGGCCGAAGUUUUAGACGACAGAUGCCCACGUGACCUGGGAGAAAAGAAAAUACCAUAGAAAAGUGUCUUGCUUUUUUUGGCGCGUACGCCGUGUAGAAGACACGUUUAUCACGUGACCAGGAAUCGGACGUCGUGACGUCUAUUUCGUGUUGUCUAAGUUUUUGCGGUGGUUUCUAUGCGCUCGGAGCGUGGCUCGGAGUGAUCACCCGAACGGCGUCGACGAGUCACAUGAACUAUGCGACGGGGCUAGACAUGCUGGUGGCGCGGCACUGGUCACACCUCUUCUUCAACGCCUUGCCGCCAGCGUUUUCUCGCUUUGCUGGUUCUGGGAUUCUUUGACAGUGGGUAUGAACGUCACCAGUGGGUUCAACGUGCCGCCUGGAGGAAAUCUGCGUGCGAUUCAUACCGAAGACUGACAGAAAUUAGCCAGUACACGGCACAAGUGUUACCCGGAACAUGCGUCCAAUGCUGACACUCACCUGUCGACCAUGUGCAAGUUAUGUCUUGAAGCAAAAUUCCGAUUCGAGGCCAGGAAGCAUAGAGGAAACGCUGCACAACGGGUGACAACUGCUAUAUCAACAGCCCCCACAAAGAGCUGUAGAGCCGCUGAAAUAUGGUGAUCAUAUGCCCUGAGCAACAAACAGGUCUUCACCCCAGCGAAACUUGUUUCGUAGCGAAUUUCAAGCUUGCAAAUCGUUUCACAGCAGCGGCGUCGAGCCACGCCGUUUUGUGCAAUCUGUGAUAUUUUGACUAUGUGUGGUUCUAAUUCAUUUUUAUUUUCUCCGAGUCAUUUCUCUGUGAACAGGGUAUUUUGCAUAGUUUGCAAGUCUAGACAAUAUUCACUGUACCACAAUUUCACAACUUUGCCGAAAUAAAGUCGUCAAUCGCCUUUCAAAUAAAUUCUGUUGACUGCAA
Long non-coding RNA from Ornithodoros turicata, 970 nucleotides. RefSeq lists it as uncharacterized. NCBI's taxonomy places the organism in Eukaryota, Metazoa, Arthropoda, Arachnida, Ixodida, Argasidae. The record is from RefSeq and is a predicted model, not a curated record. The transcript is spliced from 3 exons.